CAUGAUUCAGCGGCGGACGGGUGAGUAAUGCCUAGGAAUCUGCCUGGUAGUGGGGGACAACGUUUCGAAAGGAACGCUAAUACCGCAUACGUCCUACGGGAGAAAGUGGGGGAUCUUCGGACCUCACGCUAUCAGAUGAGCCUAGGUCGGAUUAGCUAGUUGGUGAGGUAAAGGCUCACCAAGGCGACGAUCCGUAACUGGUCUGAGAGGAUGAUCAGUCACACUGGAACUGAGACACGGUCCAGACUCCUACGGGAGGCAGCAGUGGGGAAUAUUGGACAAUGGGCGAAAGCCUGAUCCAGCCAUGCCGCGUGUGUGAAGAAGGUCUUCGGAUUGUAAAGCACUUUAAGUUGGGAGGAAGGGCAGUAAGUUAAUACCUUGCUGUUUUGACGUUACCAACAGAAUAAGCACCGGCUAACUUCGUGCCAGCAGCCGCGGUAAUACGAAGGGUGCAAGCGUUAAUCGGAAUUACUGGGCGUAAAGCGCGCGUAGGUGGUUCGUUAAGUUGGAUGUGAAAGCCCCGGGCUCAACCUGGGAACUGCAUCCAAAACUGGCGAGCUAGAGUAUGGCAGAGGGUGGUGGAAUUUCCUGUGUAGCGGUG
This 601-nucleotide ribosomal RNA is filed under the name Stutzerimonas stutzeri ATCC 17588 = LMG 11199. Its description in RNAcentral is "bacterial SSU rRNA". It matches the Rfam family "Bacterial small subunit ribosomal RNA", at positions 86 to 683 of the family's 1533-position model. Lineage: Bacteria; Pseudomonadati; Pseudomonadota; Gammaproteobacteria; Pseudomonadales; Pseudomonadaceae. The record is from RNAcentral.